GCGAUACAGGGUGACAGCCCCGUACACAAAAAUGCACAUACUGUGAGCUCGAUGAGUAGGGCGGGACACGUGGUAUCCUGUCUGAAUAUGGGGGGACCAUCCUCCAAGGCUAAAUACUCCUGACUGACCGAUAGUGAACCAGUACCGUGAGGGAAAGGCGAAAAGAACCCCGGCGAGGGGAGUGAAAAAGAACCUGAAACCGUGUACGUACAAGCAGUGGGAGCCUCUUAAUGGGGUGACUGCGUACCUUUUGUAUAAUGGGUCAGCGACUUAUAUUCUGUAGCAAGGUUAACCGAAUAGGGGAGCCGAAGGGAAACCGAGUCUUAACUGGGCGUUAAGUUGCAGGGUAUAGACCCGAAACCCGGUGAUCUAGCCAUGGGCAGGUUGAAGGUUGGGUAACACUAACUGGAGGACCGAACCGACUAAUGUUGAAAAAUUAGCGGAUGACUUGUGGCUGGGGGUGAAAGGCCAAUCAAACCGGGAGAUAGCUGGUUCUCCCCGAAAGCUAUUUAGGUAGCGCCUCGUGAAUUCAUCUCCGGGGGUAGAGCACUGUUUCGGCAAGGGGGUCAUCCCGACUUACCAACCCGAUGCAAACUGCGAAUACCGGAGAAUGUUAUCACGGGAGACACACGGCGGGUGCUAACGUCCGUCGUGAAGAGGGAAACAACCCAGACCGCCAGCUAAGGUCCCAAAGUCAUGGUUAAGUGGGAAACGAUGUGGGAAGGCCCAGACAGCCAGGAUGUUGGCUUAGAAGCAGCCAUCAUUUAAAGAAAGCGUAAUAGCUCACUGGUCGAGUCGGCCUGCGCGGAAGAUGUAACGGGGCUAAACCAUGCACCGAAGCUGCGGCAGCGACACUAUGUGUUGUUGGGUAGGGGAGCGUUCUGUAAGCCUGUGAAGGUGGCCUGUGAGGGUUGCUGGAGGUAUCAGAAGUGCGAAUGCUGACAUAAGUAACGAUAAAGCGGGUGAAAAGCCCGCUCGCCGGAAGACCAAGGGUUCCUGUCCAACGUUAAUCGGGGCAGGGUGAGUCGACCCCUAAGGCGAGGCCGAAAGGCGUAGUCGAUGGGAAACAGGUUAAUAUUCCUGUACUUGGUGUUACUGCGAAGGGGGGACGGAGAAGGCUAUGUUGGCCGGGCGACGGUUGUCCCGGUUUAAGCGUGUAGGCUGGUUUUCCAGGCAAAUCCGGAAAAUCAAGGCUGAGGCGUGAUGACGAGGCACUACGGUGCUGAAGCGACAAAUGCCCUGCUUCCAGGAAAAG
This 1255-nucleotide ribosomal RNA is filed under the name Escherichia coli. Its description in RNAcentral is "partial 23S ribosomal RNA". It matches the Rfam family "Bacterial large subunit ribosomal RNA", at positions 354 to 1617 of the family's 2925-position model. The record is from RNAcentral. Lineage: Bacteria; Pseudomonadati; Pseudomonadota; Gammaproteobacteria; Enterobacterales; Enterobacteriaceae.